GGGGCUGAUUAGGAUUCGACGGGAUACACGAAACCCUAGGUGCAUGCCGAGGUGAGGCUGGCCUCGUAAAAAGCCUCAAACAUAUAGUUGCAAACGACGACAACUACGCUCUAGCGGCAUAAUAGCCCGCUAGCCAUCCACUCGCGCUUCGUCUGUGAGACGAGAUUCGGAUGGUCAUCAAAGCAGACUCGCGUGGAGGCUUCGCCCGGAGCCAAAGCGUUAAACUCAAUCGGGCUCGCCGUGUAUGCAGCCUGUUAGUCGGCGUCAACACGGUUAACCAAAAGACUGACUAAGCAUGUAGUACCGAGGAUGUAGGUAUUGCGGACGGGGGUUCAAAUCCCCCCAGCUCCACCA
This 354-nucleotide transfer-messenger RNA is filed under the name Idiomarina xiamenensis 10-D-4. RNAcentral's name for it is "Idiomarina sp. 10-D-4 transfer-messenger RNA". It matches the Rfam family "transfer-messenger RNA". Rfam says of the family: Bacterial tmRNA, also known as 10Sa RNA or SsrA, is named for its dual tRNA and mRNA-like properties. RNAcentral also lists the same sequence under 1 other name. The record is from Rfam by way of RNAcentral. Lineage: Bacteria; Pseudomonadati; Pseudomonadota; Gammaproteobacteria; Alteromonadales; Idiomarinaceae.